RNAcentral lists this transfer RNA (70 nucleotides) under Ochthebius sp. IBE<ESP> AV177. RNAcentral describes it as "tRNA-Lys". The record is from RNAcentral. Lineage: Eukaryota; Metazoa; Arthropoda; Insecta; Coleoptera; Hydraenidae.
CAUUAGAUGACUGAAUGUAAGUUAUGGUCUCUUAAACCAUUUUAUAAUAGAUUAACAACUAUUUCUAAUG